This is a long non-coding RNA of Hibiscus syriacus, 1144 nucleotides long. RefSeq lists it as uncharacterized. NCBI's taxonomy places the organism in Eukaryota, Viridiplantae, Streptophyta, Magnoliopsida, Malvales, Malvaceae. The record is from RefSeq and is a predicted model, not a curated record. The transcript has 3 exons.
UGCCUGAAGAGCCAUUGUUCCAGAUUUUUCUUGGCUCAUAUUGUGAACUCUUUUUUUCUGUCAAAAUCAACAAUGCAGAUUUAGUAUAUUAUGCAGAUUAGUUAGAACUUGGAACUGGUCCAGCUUGUGAAUAUGAAGUAUCCCAGUGGGAACUAAAAAAAUAUUGAUAAUGCAGUGCCUUCUAAUGAGGAACCCGAAAUGGAUGAUAAAACUGUUCCCGAUGAAGUGAUCCCAAAAGGUGGGACGAUUACACUUAAUUCCGGGAGGAGAGCAGUAAGCCUCAGAGUCACUAACAGUGGAGAUAGGCCGGUUCAGGUAGGAAACCAUUAUCACUUUAUCGAGGUAAACCCUGACUUGAAUUUCGAUCGAAGUAAAGCAUUAGGCAUGCGGCUAAAUAUACCAGCGGGAACAGCUUAAAGAUUUGAGGUCGAGCGAGCAUUUUAACCUUCAUCUGUUGAUAAGCUUGUUGUUUGAUCAUUGAUUAAGUCAAUUAACGGUUAUUCAUUGAUCAUGUUGUGGGUGUUGGUUAUGUAUAUGUGUCGACACAGGAUGGUAUGAUUUUUGAUAAAUUGGAGGGUGCAGAUCCUUCCAGUCUCGCCAAAAAAGUUGCCAAGGUUACUGGGCUUAUUAACCCUGGAGAAGCUGCUGCUCCUGCUAGUCUUGGGAUGGCUGCCGGCCCCACCGUCCUUGAGACGGUCCAAGAUUUGGCAAAGGUAAAUGGUUCAUCCCAGACAGGAAAUCAAGUGCAAACUGGUCUCGACGACAAACUUAAAAAACGCUUACAUCCUUUUCUUUUCCUUGAUUUCAUUUUUUUUCUCGAGUGAUGAUUGCAGAGUUGAAGAAGUCGUUGCACGUUGUGUUCUCACAAUUCGGAAAGAUACUGGAUGUGUUAGCAUUGAAGACGCUGAAACACAAAGGUCAAGAUUGGGUUAUUUUCGAGGAUGUUAGCUCCGCUACCAAUGCUCUUAGGCGAAUGCAGGGCUUUCCCUUUUAUGACAAGGAGAUGGUAUAUGUAUUUUUGCAAUUGGUUUCUUGUUUCUGUCAUUGAUGGAGACUGCAACAAGUUUCCAAGCUCCGCUUUUAAUAUGUCAAAAUUGUUUUUCCUUGUUUCUGUCUAUGAAUUAUUAUUAAAUUCUCUAUGUUU